Molecule: ribosomal RNA, 304 nt
Filed under: uncultured bacterium
Lineage: Bacteria
Description: partial 16S ribosomal RNA
Rfam family: Bacterial small subunit ribosomal RNA
Source: RNAcentral
CAGCAGUCGCCGCGGUAAUACGAAGGGUGCAAACGUUGCUCGGAAUUAUUGGGCGUAAAGCGCACGUAGGCGGCUCCGCAAGUCGGAUGUGAAAUCCCUCGGCUUAACCAAGGAAGUGCAUCCGAAACUGCAGAGCUUGAGUACUUAAGAGGAUCGCGGAAUUCCCGGUGUAGAGGUGAAAUUCGUAGAUAUCGGGAGGAACACCAGUGGCGAAGGCGGCGACCUGGUCCUUUACUGACGCUGAGGCGCGAAAGCGUGGGGAGCAAACAGGAUUAGAUACCCCCGUAGUCCCUGUCUCUUAUAC